AUUGAACGCUGGCGGCAUGCCUUACACAUGCAAGUCGAACGGUAACAGGUCUUCGGAUGCUGACGAGUGGCGAACGGGUGCGUAAUACAUCGGAACGUGCCCGAUCGUGGGGGAUAACGAAGCGAAAGCUUUGCUAAUACCGCAUAAGAUCUACGGAUGAAAGCAGGGGACCGCAAGGCCUUGCGCGAACGGAGCGGCCGAUGGCAGAUUAGGUAGUUGGUGGGAUAAAAGCUUACCAAGCCGACGAUCUGUAGCUGGUCUGAGAGGACGACCAGCCACACUGGGACUGAGACACGGCCCAGACUCCUACGGGAGGCAGCAGUGGGGAAUUUUGGACAAUGGGCGAAAGCCUGAUCCAGCCAUGCCGCGUGCAGGAUGAAGGCCUUCGGGUUGUAAACUGCUUUUGUACGGAACGAAAAGACUCUGGUUAAUACCUGGGGUCCAUGACGGUACCGUAAGAAUAAGCACCGGCUAACUACGUG
Molecule: ribosomal RNA, 482 nt
Filed under: uncultured bacterium
Lineage: Bacteria
Description: partial 16S ribosomal RNA
Rfam family: Bacterial small subunit ribosomal RNA
Source: RNAcentral